RNAcentral lists this ribosomal RNA (406 nucleotides) under uncultured rumen bacterium. RNAcentral's name for it is "bacterial SSU rRNA". It matches the Rfam family "Bacterial small subunit ribosomal RNA", at positions 509 to 916 of the family's 1533-position model. The record is from RNAcentral.
CAGCAGCCGCGGUAACACGGAGGGUGCAAGCGUUAUCCGGAUUCACUGGGUUUAAAGGGUGCGUAGGCGGAUAGGUAAGUCAGGGGUGAAAUCCUGGAGCUUAACUCCAGAACUGCCUUUGAUACUAUCUAUCUUGAAUAUGGUGGAGGUAAGCGGAAUAUGUCAUGUAGCGGUGAAAUGCAUAGAUAUGACAUAGAGCACCUAUUGCGAAGGCAGCUUACUACGCCUAUAUUGACGCUGAGGCACGAAAGCGUGGGGAUCAAACAGGAUUAGAUACCCUGGUAGUCCACGCCCUAAACGAUGAUUACUCGACGUAUGCGAUACACUAGUAUGCGUCUGAGCGAAAGCAUUAAGUAAUCCACCUGGGAUGUAUGACCGCAGGGUUGAAACUUAAAGGAAUUGGCGG